RNAcentral lists this ribosomal RNA (252 nucleotides) under uncultured bacterium. Its description in RNAcentral is "partial 16S ribosomal RNA". It matches the Rfam family "Bacterial small subunit ribosomal RNA", at positions 525 to 776 of the family's 1533-position model. The record is from RNAcentral.
ACGGAGGAUGCAAGCGUUAUCCGGAUUUAUUGGGUUUAAAGGGUGCGUAGGCGGAAGAUUAAGUCAGUGAUGAAAUCCUGCAGCUCAACUGUAGAACUGUCAUUGAUACUGAUUUUCUUGAAUACAGUUGAGGUAGGCGGAAUAUGUAAUGUAGCGGUGAAAUGCUUAGAUAUUACAUAGAACACCGAUUGCGAAGGCAGCUUACUAAACUGUGAUUGACGCUGAGGCACGAAAGCGUGGGGAGCGAACAGG